This 253-nucleotide ribosomal RNA is filed under the name uncultured bacterium. RNAcentral describes it as "partial 16S ribosomal RNA". It matches the Rfam family "Bacterial small subunit ribosomal RNA", at positions 524 to 776 of the family's 1533-position model. The record is from RNAcentral.
UACGUAGGGGGCGAGCGUUGUCCGGAUUUACUGGGCGUAAAGGGCGCGUAGGCGGCUUAUCAAGUCAGGCGUGAAAUUCCCGGGCUCAACCUGGGGGCUGCGCUUGAUACUGAUUGGCUUGAAUGCGGGAGAGGAUAGUGGAAUUCCCAGUGUAGAGGUGAAAUUCGUAGAUAUUGGGAAGAACACCGGUGGCGAAGGCGGCUAUCUGGCCCGUAAUUGACGCUGAGGCGCGAAAGCGUGGGGAGCAAACAGG